GACGAACGCUGGCGGCGUGCUUAACGCAUGCAAGUCGAACGAUGAAGCCUAGCUUGCUAGGUGGAUUAGUGGCGAACGGGUGAGUAAUACGUGAGUAACCUACCUUUAACUCUGGGAUAAGCCUGGGAAACUGGGUCUAAUACCGGAUACGACCAAUCUCCGCAUGGGGUGUUGGUGGAAAGCGUUAUGUAGUGGUUAUAGAUGGGCUCACGGCCUAUCAGCUUGUUGGUGAGGUAACGGCUCACCAAGGCGACGACGGGUAGCCGGCCUGAGAGGGUGACCGGCCACACUGGGACUGAGACACGGCCCAGACUCCUACGGGAGGCAGCAGUGGGGAAUAUUGCACAAUGGGCGCAAGCCUGAUGCAGCGACGCCGCGUGAGGGAUGACGGCCUUCGGGUUGUAAACCUCUGUUAGCAGGGAAGAAGAGAAAUUGACGGUACCUGCAGAGAAAGCGCCGGCUAACUACGUG
Molecule: ribosomal RNA, 471 nt
Filed under: uncultured bacterium
Lineage: Bacteria
Description: partial 16S ribosomal RNA
Rfam family: Bacterial small subunit ribosomal RNA
Source: RNAcentral